This 253-nucleotide ribosomal RNA is filed under the name uncultured bacterium. RNAcentral describes it as "partial 16S ribosomal RNA". It matches the Rfam family "Bacterial small subunit ribosomal RNA", at positions 524 to 776 of the family's 1533-position model. The record is from RNAcentral.
UACGGGGGGGGCAAGCGUUGUUCGGAAUUACUGGGCGUAAAGGGCUCGUAGGUGGCCAACUAAGUCAUACGUGAAAUCCCUCGGCUUAACCGGGGAACUGCGUCUGAUACUGGAUGGCUUGGGGUUGGGAGAGGGAUGCGGAAUUCCAGGUGUAGCGGUGAAAUGCGUAGAUAUCUGGAGGAACACCGGUGGCGAAGGCGGCAUCCUGGACCAAUUCUGACACUGAGGAGCGAAAGCCAGGGGAGCAAACGGG